CGCGUCAAUAAUCACGUGUGGAGAUGAACCUCAGCUCUCGGCGUAGGCGUUGCGUCAUUGCGCAAACUGGCGCAGUUGGAUGAACAAGCCCCGCGCAUGGGAUCAGUUGGUCGUGACAGUUUUUUUUUGUUGUUUUGCAAUUACCGGCUCGACGCGACAGCAAACAAAGGCGUUCCUACUGACGACGAUGGUGGAUAAUAUUUCGCUUAGUUUGCGGCUUCAGCUUUCCAAACCGACUCCCGAGUCGGUCGGGCCGGAUCGCUCAAGGUAUGCGCAUAAAUCGAACGCAUGGGCUACGUGAUCGUGUGCAUGUAGCAGAGUUACCGGGUACACUCCAGCCUUUUCGCAACGUCUUUGCGCGUCUGUGACGAAUUGGUAAUAUAAACGAAGCGCAAGAGGAGCACGUGAACAUGGAGAGUUUUUUUUUUAAAUAAACAAAGAACAAACAGUAA
Long non-coding RNA from Anopheles gambiae (African malaria mosquito), 452 nucleotides. RefSeq lists it as uncharacterized. The transcript has 2 exons. Lineage: Eukaryota; Metazoa; Arthropoda; Insecta; Diptera; Culicidae. The record is from RefSeq and is a predicted model, not a curated record.